Molecule: long non-coding RNA, 1381 nt
Filed under: Bemisia tabaci
Lineage: Eukaryota; Metazoa; Arthropoda; Insecta; Hemiptera; Aleyrodidae
Description: lncRNA ENSSWEETPG001442
Source: RNAcentral
UAAUCUAAGUGAAACUUUCAAGCGCACUACACGGGAACAUGACAAUUUUUUGAUAUAACAUUAUAUAGGGCUCUGAUGUCUCGUAUUCUCUAUAGCUUUGUCACAACGUGAAAAUGGUCAAAGUGGAUACUUUUCGCUUUUUUAGGCACAUAUGCGUAAUUAUCUCGUUUAAUAAAUCAUCAACCACCUUGAAACUAGACAGUUCGUAAGACGGGACCGAGACGCAUCUUUAGACACCAAAAUUUCUGAAAUCCGUUGCUCCGUUGCUUUUAAAAGUUUACUGAACCGCAACUAAAAACCCAAAUAAGCGAGUUACCUGUAACUAUGGUGUCGUUGCCUCGACCGGGCUGUGCUGUGUUGCCAAUUGUUGGAGGAUAGGUUACUUGCCCGGAUGUGGCUACCGCCACUCAUGAUAAUCUCGUAAAAUUCGAAGCAACCCUCAGUCCUGACUCGGCAUAUUUUUAAUAUUUUUCUGGCAUCGUCUGUUUUUUAUUUAAUGUUUCAGAUUCUUUCUAGAAAAUGAAAAUUUCAUCUUAGUCAGGGCUUGAGUGGGGUGAGUAUUUCUCAUGACAAAAAAAAAUAGGAUGCUAAAGAGGGGAGGGGAAGAAAGAUGCGACGCUCCCUCAUCAGAAAAUUAUUCGAAAAGCGCGCGUUUCCGACGGUUUUGUCAUGUGCUGCCCUCUGGUUAACGAGUUCAUCCCUUGCUGGUUUAUUGUUUUGGUUCUCAAUACAAAAUAAAUACAGCUGUUUCGGUAUUUAUAGUUUUUCGUAGGUUUACGACCUAUUAAUUUAGAUUCGCAGUGAUUCCCUUUAGAACAUUAUUUCUGAGAGUUAAAGCUACAUAACAUAAUCCUUUAGUGGCUAUCCUAACACCUUCUCGUGUUUUUUAAUACCCGAAUCGUCUGACCGCCAUUGAAGUUCGGUUGUUUUUAUCAGUGAAUUCUGCAGUUUGACUUGCCGUUUCAUUUUCAGCAAUCGCAGUUUAAUUUUGAUUAACAAUUUUAUCGUAUUUUAAUAGUAGCGGAUCGCGCUUUGUAUAGAACUCAUACUCCCGCAGGCAACCGUUCUCCUGUUUCUACUUUUGUUUUUACUGAGUGGCAGUUUCGCACCUUCGAUUUCAAUACCGACCUCAUGACACAGUUUCGUUGUUGAUCUGGAUGGAUAGCUCCAAAUGAGAGAUACUUGAAUCAGGUAAGUUUUCUACGGUAUCUAAAUCCAACCUGCUAAUCUCAUAAUCCUAGUUGUGGUCUCCAAGCCCAACCAGCAACUUGCACCCUGAAAUAGUGUUUGUAAGUAUUUGUAACCUCACUUCAGCCUUUCAUGGUUAUAGUUAUGUCAAAGGCUUUCACUCUCUAAGACUCCGUACUUGCUUACCCCUGAC